RNAcentral lists this ribosomal RNA (891 nucleotides) under uncultured marine bacterium. Its description in RNAcentral is "bacterial SSU rRNA". It matches the Rfam family "Bacterial small subunit ribosomal RNA", at positions 509 to 1397 of the family's 1533-position model. The record is from RNAcentral.
CAGCAGCCGCGGUAAUACGUAGGGGGCGAGCGUUGUCCGGAUUUAUUGGGCGUAAAGGGCUCGUAGGCGGCUUGGCAAGUCGGCCGUGAAAACCCAGGGCUCAACUCUGGGACGCCGGUCGAUACUGCCAUGGCUAGGGUCCGGUAGAGGGGAAUGGAAUUCCCGGUGUAGCGGUGAAAUGCGCAGAUAUCGGGAGGAACACCAGUAGCGAAGGCGGUUCCCUGGGCCGGCACCGACGCUGAGGAGCGAAAGCGUGGGGAGCAAACAGGAUUAGAUACCCUGGUAGUCCACGCCGUAAACGUUGGGUACUAGGCGUGGCGUCUUAUCAACGGAUGCCGUGCUCGAAGCUAACGCGUUAAGUGCCCCGCCUGGGGAGUACGGCCGCAAGGCUAAAACUCAAAGGAAUUGACGGGUCCCCGCACAAGCGGCGGAGCAUGCGGCUUAAUUCGAUGCAACCCGAAGAACCUUACCUAGGUUUGACAUUAUGGGAAAAGCCAUGGAAACAUGGUGUGCGGGAGCGUCCAUAACAGGUGGUGCAUGGCUGUCGUCAGCUCGUGUCGUGAGAUGUUGGGUUAAGUCCCGCAACGAGCGCAACCCUCGUCCUAUGUUGCCAGCGGGUAAUGCCGGGGACUCAUAGGAGACCGCCGGGGACAACUCGGAGGAAGGUGAGGAUGACGUCAAGUCAGCAUGCCCCUUACACCUAGGGCUGCACGCAUGCUACAAUGGCCGGUACAACGGGCUGCGAUCCCGCGAGGGUGAGCGAAUCCCUUAAAGCCGGCCCCAGUUCGGAUUGGAGUCUGCAACUCGACUCCAUGAAGCCGGAGUCGCUAGUAAUCGCGGAUCAGCAAAGCCGCGGUGAAUACGUUCUCGGGGAUUGUACACACCGCCCGU